This 7357-nucleotide long non-coding RNA is filed under the name Malus domestica (apple). RNAcentral describes it as "long non-coding RNA (MDOM_LNC002613)". Lineage: Eukaryota; Viridiplantae; Streptophyta; Magnoliopsida; Rosales; Rosaceae. The record is from RNAcentral.
AAAUCCCCCAAACAACACCACGACAAGUUUGCAUUUACCUUGAGUUGUUCGAGCAAAGUCCAUGACUUGUGUUUGUCCGCUUCCUUAGGAUAUCCAUAAAAACAAGUAAUCCUCCAAUGUCUUGCAUCCCCCAAACCGCCAACCUCCAAAUCGAUAUGGUUAGAAGAAUAGGUUCGUAAGGACAUGCUAACUAUUAGAAGAAAGAAUGGCAACUAGGGUUAGGUUAGGUUGCAUGUUCAUCGUACAAAGGAUUUUAGGGUGAUAGAUAGUGUUGUCAAUUCCCUUAAUUCAAGGGAUGUGUCUCUUGUUGUCAAUUCCUUUAAUUUAAGGGAUGUGUCUUAUUUGUCUUGUUGUCAAUUCUCUUAAUUCAAGGGAUGUGUUUUAUUUGUUCUUUUUUUGUUAGCUUUAGACGUAAAUCAAGGAGGGAUAGGUAGUCUUGUUUUCUUCCCUCUAGCACAUAUAUAUUUGCUAUCUCUUGUACCUGAUUGUCUUAUGAUGAAUAUACCAUUCACAAAAUUCAAUAUGGUAUCAGAGCAGUGACCCUAACCGGCUUGUCUCUGUGGUGUUCUCUUGAGAGAUUUGUGAGCUUCUUCUUGUCCUUCAAUUAUGGCUGAAGAAAGCUCAGUAAAUUUGGAAGGAGACGGCUUUCAUGCUACUCCACCAUCACCACACUCAGAUAUUGAUAUCAACCCAAAUCAACGUCUUAGUUCUGUCUUGCUAAAUGAGUUUAACUAUCUUCCAUGGGAGAGAGCAGUUUCUCUUGCUCUGGGAGGACGAUCAAAGCUUGGUUAUGUUAAUGGUGCUAUUCCAAUGCCUGAGACUACCUCACCGAAGUAUGGUGCUUGGCUAUGCAAAGACCAGUUGGUCAUGUCAUGGCUACUCAAUUCCAUGGAUCGUAAGAUUGCAGAAAUUUUUAGCUAUGCUGAAUCCUCCAUGACUCUUUAGAAAAAUCUCAAGGAAAUGUAUGGAAAUCAGAACAAUGCGACUCGUGUGUUUCAGUUAAAGAAGGACAUUGCUGGUUUGCAACAGGAAGGGAAGUCAUUUGUGCAACAUCUUGGAAAGCUGACCACUAUGUGGAACGAGCUGAAUGUGUAUCGACCAUACACCAUCGAUGCUGCUGUGCUAACUAAGAGAGCCGAGGAAGACAAAAUAUUCCAACUCCUAGCAAGCCUAAGCCCUGAAUUCGAAGAUCUUUGAAGCCAUAUCCUCAUGAAUCCUGACCUGCCAUCUUUUUCAAGUGUGUGCGCCACAAUUCAAAGAGAAGAGGUUUGAAGGAAAGUCAUGACCUUGGACAUAAAGGUAAAUAUACCAGAAGCUAGAGCUUACUUCUCUAACCAAAACCUUGGUGAGGAGAGAGGCUACAAAGGAAAGAAAACUGGCUUAAAAUGUAGCCAUUGUGAUGCUGGUGGGCACUCAAGAGACCGAUGCUGGAUUCUUCAUCCAGAGUUAAAACCAAAGUUUCAUAGGGAUAACAAAGGUGUCUCAAAAGGCUCGUACAACCCUUCUUACAAGGCAAAUCAUGUUGCCACAACUUCUUAUGAGGGAGCACUGAAGUUCACCACUAAUCCAGCUGCACUGAUCAACGAGUUUGCUAUGUUUCUUCAAAAGAAACAAGGUCUUGGAGAUAGUGAAGAACCACUAAAUCAGUGUGAUAACAAUCAAACUGCACUACCAGGAUAGUUUGCUGGCUUCCUGGUUGGAAAUGAAGGCGUGGUACAAAGGGACAUCCCAGGUAUCUUACACUCCUUCUCAACAUUGGUAAUGUGCAUGAUUAUUGGAUUAUAGAUUCUGGAGCCACUGAUCAUAUGACUAACAAGUUUACAAACUUGCAUAAAUUUGAAAAAUUUUCUAUUCCAUCUCAAGUGUCAGUUGCCAAUGGAAAAAAUGCUAUGGUUGUGGGAAAAGGAAAAAUACGUUUGAUCUCAAGUGAUGUCGAGUCUGAGGCUCUUUAUGUUCCCUCAUUCCCUUUUCAACUUUAAUCUGUUGGCAAGAUCACAAACUCAUUAAAUUGUCUUGCCAUUUUCUCUCCCAAAAAUGUGAUCUUUCAGGAUGUAGUCACCAAGAGGACGAUUGGUGAAGGAUUUUUCUUAAAUGGUCUCUACUAUCUUUCCAAGCAUAUUCAAGUUCCCAAGGUUUUUCAAGUCACUUCAAGCUUAGCUCAAGAACAACAACUUUGGCACCAACGUCUAGCACAUCCUUAUGAAAAAGUUCUAUCCACCUUGUUCCCAAACAUGUGCAAAGUUACAAGUCCUUGUGAUGUUUGUCAUUUUUCUAAGUUUACUAGAUUACCAUUUACUUCCUCUUUGUCUAGGGCUAGUAAUCAUUUUGAAAUCGUGCAUUCCGAUGUUUAGGGACCAAUUCUAGAGUCUUUUGAUGGAUACAAACAUUUUGUAACUUUUGUGGAUGAUUUCACAAGGAUUACUUGGUUGUAUCUUUUGAAAUUUAAAAGUGAAGUGAUGGAAGUUUUUCAAGAUUUUCAUAGACUUGUGGCCACCCAAUUUGCUUUAAAAAUUCAUAUUUUAUGAUCAGAUAAUGGCACAGAAUAUAUGUCUCAUAACAUGUCACACUACUUGAGCACGCAUGGUAUAUUACACCAAACAAGCUGUGUUGGAACACCUCAACAAAAUGGGGUGGCUAAGAGGAAGAAUAGAGAUCUACUUGAGAAGACUAGAGCUCUUAUGUUUCACAUGAAUGUGCCUAAGAAGUUUUGGUCUCAAGGAGUUCUUACUGCGGCAUAUCUCAUCAAUAGAUUGCCUAGUAAAGUGUUGAAUUUUAAAUCACCUUAUGAGGUCUUGAAAAAUAGAAAGAUCAACUUUUCCCAUUUGAGAGUCUUUGGGUGUACAUGCUUUGUUCACAUUCAAGCUCAAAAUUGUGACAAGCUAGACCCAAGGGCUGCCAAAUGUGUCUUUCUAGGUUAUUCAUCUACCCAAAAAGGUUACAAGUGCUAUAAUUCAACAACUAGAAAAAUGGUUGUUUCAAGGGAUGUUAAAUUUGAAGAACAUGUUUCUUACUUCUCAUAAUCAUUAGAUUACUCUAGACAUAUUGAAGUUGAUUGUCACUACGUCAGAAAUCAAGUUCAGUCCAAGGUGAUCGAUGCUCACUACACGCGCAAUCAUGAUCAACUUGCGGAUAUUUUCACAAAAGGAUUAACCUUUGCUAAUUUUCAGCGUCUUUUGUUCAAGCUUGGAUCAAUUAAUCCCUUUGAUCCAGCUUGAGGGGGAGUAUUGGAAGAAAGAAUGGCAACUAGGGUUAGGUUAGGUUGCAUGUUCACCGUACAAAGGAUUUUAGGGUGAUAGAUAAUGUUGUCAAUUCCCUUAAUUCAAGGGAUGUGUCUUAUUUGUUUUGUUGUCAAUUCCCUUAAUUCAAGGGAUGUGUCUUAUUUGUUAUUUUUUUGUUAGCUUUAGACAUAAAUCAAGGAGGGAUAGGUAGUCUUGUUUUCUUCCCUCUAGCACAUAUAUAUUUGCUAUCUCUUGUACUUGAUUGUCUUAUGAUGAAUAUACCAUUCAUAAAAUUCAAUACUAACCUCAUUUUUCCAUAUCACACAGAGUCCUCUAGACCUUCUACUACUCGGGAUCGUAAAAACAAAAUCGUAUUGCAGCUAUAUUUUCAACCUCUCCAUGUAUUGAACUGAGCUUUUCGUUUUGUAUAGGAAAAACACAGUGGGAACUUUUUUGAGAACAAGUCUCUUCAGGGAAUGAAUUGUCUGGAGGUUCCCAAACCCUUGACAAUUCCAACUAAUGCAACUCAUUGUUGUCCGCGAGGUUGAUACUCGUCAGCCUCCGUCGUUGUUGAAUUUUUUGAAGCAUGAAAACAUGUCUACCUCUUUGGCUUCGAUCUAUCCCAACCUCCUUCAUUAUUGCGAAGCCUUAUCUUCCCCAAUUCCAGUCCCAAACUAUGUCGUUCGAUGGUCAUUUUCCUUUGAUUUCCUCGUGGUUUUCCACCUAGGUGUUUUCUGCUAUUUGUAUAUAUGUUUCCAUAUAUGAAGGGCACACGAUUAAAGGGAUUUGAAUCCAUCGAGAGAGUCCUCACCUCUUGCCUGAUUGAAUUUUUUGGACCGUACCCCCAACCCGUGCGUUUGGGCUCGGCCCAAUAGCAACAGUUUCGUACACCCUUUCCUGCGUUUCAAUUUCAAAAUUCUGGACAACUUGUCCCUCAAAUUGUAGCUGGGCAUUCACCACAGAGCAAGAUGCUCCAAAUAGUUUAAUAACUUAUUUUUUCUCUUUCACACUCGGUAAAAUAGAUUCCUCUUGCUAGCUGUUUUUAACUUGUUGACUAUCCUGUAUAUCUCGAAUCUCCCCAUAAGGAAUGAUUGAUAAAUGAUUAAUUUCAAUACCCUCAAAUGGCGCCUCCUCAUUAAGAUCUAGCAAAUCAAUCCUUGACAGACUAUUGCUAUUCAUCUCCGGAUUCUGCUCGAACUUGCCAUUCUCAGCCAUUGAACCUUCCUUGGAAUCCCUCAAUUACCCGUAGUCAUCCGGUCUCCGCCGUUGGUUGUCCAUGUUGGCCUCCUCCAUAUCCUCAUCCCCAUGUUCAGCCUACGGGGCCCGCAUAGACCACCCCCUUGGGCUUCUAAUCUAAAUCUGUGCCCUAGAGGUUUUCUAUAGUUCGGACUCAAAGUAUCCUCUUGGAACGUCUACUACUUGUCCCCCCAAUUGUAGUGCCGAGUUUUUUCGAAAUGGUUUGGUUGCAUCAAUACGCGUUUGAAUUUGUAGUAUACUUCCAAGUUGUUCAUCUUUCCUACUCUGGUCCGUCAAAACAUAUUCACCCAGAUGAUUGCCAAUGAACUUGCCCAUGUUUCGCAUCAUGUAACAAAGCAGUAGUCCUUUAAUUUACACCCAGAACUCCUGGUACAUCAGUGGGAUCCGAGUAGGAUGAGUGAUGCAACCUCUGCUAACAAUAGGACCGCUUGUUUAUUGUACAACCACUGGCCAUCUCUAUGAAUCAUUGUUAUGUCAUGCUUUAUGUUGAAACCAAACGCAAAUAAGUCUCCCUCAAGUUCCACAAUAAGCACGUUUGCAUUUAUCUCUUAAAAUUCUCUUUAUUGAUUGGCUUUUGGGAGAGUACACGUCCCACCAAAAACACUCUGGAUGAUCACAACGAUAACUCUUCUUGUUUGUCAAUCACAAUAACUUGGCCUUCUUCCUCCAUAAUCGUAAACUGAGAAUAGAAUCGUUAAACCAUGUUGUCCAUCAACGCAAGUCCUGUUGCUAUACCCAGUCCAUAUAGCUCGUAGAAUCUCUCACACCAACUUAAUAGUUGGUAUUGUUUCCACCAGACCAUCAACCUAUAUAUAGUAUCGAUUCUAAAACCCUGAACUUGACGAAGUGAUCGCCUCUACCAAGCCCUGCAGUAAGGCUUUAGACCAAGCCAAACUAACAGCGGCCCUCUCUUAGGCAGAAAAAACCUAGAGAGCCUUGUAUCAUUUAGAUCAAAAUCUAAUUUUCUACAAAUGGUUGAAUAAACCUCACAUACUUAAUACACCCCACAUUUUCUUUUUUCAAUUAAAAAUUAUCUUAAUACACCCCCACAUACUUCCUCAUAAUACCCUCACACCUCACAUUCUUAAUGUACACCUUACAUUUUCUAAAUGCACCCCAUAUUUUCUAUACACCCCCACAUUUCUCAAAUCUUAUAAAGCUUUUAAAUUGCACAAAAAAUGCCGACUAGAAUUUUGACAAAAGAUGCCGCCUGGGAUUUAAAGCAUAUGUGGGUUGUUUUCAAUUCCACCAUUAAAAUCCAUGUCAUCUGUUUUUAAUAUUUGGUGGUAAUUUUAGGUGUUUAAUUCUUUAUGUAAUCCUUGUGAUCCCUAAAAGAUGAAUACGAACAUAGAAGCUUGAAUAACGCAGCAAAAAUAAGAUUAAAUAAUUAUCGAUGUCGUCAAAAUCACUAAAACAAUAAAGAAUAUGAAGUCUUACCUUAUGUGAAGCUUCGGAAACAUCGAUUUCGUGUUUCAUUCAUCAAAAAUAAUUUUUCUCAAUCAACAUGUUUUUAGUUUCAUUGGUUAGGGUUUUGUUCAACAAUGGUGACACGUCCCGAUCCCGAUAUUCCUCAAGUACCAAGAUAGGCACGUGCUGGCUGACACCCGAGGGUGACGAAAGCCAUUAAUUGAUACAAAAGCUAAGAAUAAGAAGUAAAUAAGGGUUAUGAAAUUAAAUACAAUGAGUUAAUAAUUUAGGAAUGUGUUCAGAGCAUUCAACUAACUAGAUCUCUAAAAGAAUUAAUAUAAAAUUGAAUAAAUAAGAGGAUGUAGGUCCUACACCGAGAGGACUCAAAUAUGCCAAUUCGAAAGCGUUGACGUCGAGAUCGUAUGCCUUGAUUCUAAAUCCUGAAAGGGGGCGCAAAACAAGGGUGAGUGGACCAAGUUCAUAUAUAUAUAUAUAUAUACAUAAUACGAAAACAGUUAUGAACAUACUAACCCCUAGGUUUAUAUAUGAUGAAAACUACUAGCAUAAUAAGUUAUAGGUUUUCUGAAACUCUAGCAUGCCAUAAAACAUCUCAACAUGUAUAACGCGGAAAAACGUCAUAUAAAUCAUUGCGUGUAUCGUCUCGUAGAUCGUCCCGUAAACGCGGUGUGCUGCUAGUAAGAUCACUGAAUAAAUAUAACUCCCGGCCCUAUGCCAGCACCGUGGUCUCUGCGCUCGUAGCCAGAGAUUACCAACUUCCGGCCCAAUGCCUGCUCCGUGUCCCUCAGCCCGUAGCUAGGGAUUAUUUCUCCUGGCCUAUCUGCCAACAGCAGAUCCUCGCCCCAAGCGGCAUAAUGUCUACUAGGUACGCACAAAUAGUUACGCCUCUCAUAAAUAACCACUUCAUAGUAUAAAGUCAUUCAUCGUCUAUACUAUAAAGAGGGGUUUCGAAAACAUGUUCUAGCAUCCCAUCGUCAUCCGUCAGAUAGUCUACCAGUUCAUGGUUUUUAUAGAAAAUACUAUGUAUUAAAAUAUAGCUCAAUAUAGGCCAACAAUUAAUUCCUCACCAAAAAUACGAGACGAAAAUCAACAUAUUCAAUAAACAUGCUUAACAUAAAAUCAAAUAAUAAACUCAUAAGGCAUGCUAUUCAGUUAUGCAAAACUAUAAAAUCAUGUAAUUUUAGAAGGGAUCCACUCACCGUACACCGAUGGUGCAAAGCUGUACCAAAAAGGAAUAACGAAAUCACGGCCAAUAAUUGCACCUAAUCACAUAAAAGAGUACAUUUAGUCAAACUCUAUUCAAACGAUUAACUUUGGGAAAAUGGACUUCAAAAAUGGGUUCAGGACGUUGAAAUUAGCCUAGGAGGGGUCCCAGAUGAAAACCCGAAAAGUCAACGGUCAAAGUCGACGUUGACCUUUGACCAAGUCAACGGUUAACCGGGUUAGGUCAACGAGUC